RNAcentral lists this ribosomal RNA (520 nucleotides) under uncultured bacterium. RNAcentral describes it as "bacterial SSU rRNA". It matches the Rfam family "Bacterial small subunit ribosomal RNA", at positions 8 to 526 of the family's 1533-position model. The record is from RNAcentral.
AGAGUUUGAUCCUGGCUCAGAUUGAACGCUGGCGGCAUGCCUUACACAUGCAAGUCGAACGGUAACGCGGGGCAACCUGGCGACGAGUGGCGAACGGGUGAGUAAAGCAUCGGAACGUGCCCAGUAGUGGGGGAUAGCCCGGCGAAAGCCGGAUUAAUACCGCAUACGACCUAUGGGUGAAAGCGGGGGACCGCAAGGCCUCGCGCUAUUGGAGCGGCCGAUGUCAGAUUAGGUAGUUGGUGGGGUAAAGGCCUACCAAGCCGACGAUCUGUAGCUGGUCUGAGAGGACGACCAGCCACACUGGGACUGAGACACGGCCCAGACUCCUACGGGAGGCAGCAGUGGGGAAUUUUGGACAAUGGGGGCAACCCUGAUCCAGCCAUGCCGCGUGCGGGAAGAAGGCCUUCGGGUUGUAAACGCUUUUGUCAGGGAAGAAACGCUCCGGGCUAAUACCCUGGGGUAAUGACGGUACCUGAAGAAUAAGCAUCGGCUAACUACGUGCCAGCAGCCGCGGUAAUAC